This 1089-nucleotide long non-coding RNA is filed under the name Callithrix jacchus (white-tufted-ear marmoset). Its description in RNAcentral is "lncRNA (ENSCJAG00000080174.1)". The record is from RNAcentral. Lineage: Eukaryota; Metazoa; Chordata; Mammalia; Primates; Cebidae.
AGGUGUACAGGCUGGAUAAGGUAUCUCAGGUCAAUGCAAAGGUGUGUUUCAAGGCUCAGAGAAGUGAGAGAAUGUGUGGGGUUUGUCUAAUUUACUAGAGAGGGGAUAGGUAAAUAGAGAGGGUGAGGUUUGAAUGCCAUAGGGUCCACUGGAGGUGUUGAAACUCCCCUUCUUUUCUCUAGGUUUUGGAGAAUUGCACUCAUGUGCUUAUAAUACACACUUAAACUUUGCUUUCUUUUUAAAAAUGCUUUCUGUUCAUCACUGUUUGGGCUCCUUCUGACAGAAGUCAUUAUUAGAGAUUCAGACCUUUACUUACUCAAUUCCCUGUUGUGGUUUUGUAAAGAAGGCUUUCUUGUUCCUCUCAAAAAACAGACAUGCCUGUGAAGGUGAGUUACACUUCCAUUCUCUUAAGUUUAUAGUAACAAAGACAUUUCAUGAAGUGCUAAAAGACAGCCAGUAUUUAGAAAGUACUUUGUGACUUUUGAGGGUUAUGAGAUGCUGAAUGUGAGACACUGUAGCAGGUUGCGUAGGGGAAUUGAAAACAAUAUUCUUCUCCAGAGAAAUCAGAAAACCAGGUCAAUGCCUCCUUGCAUAGUCCUGCUGGAAGACAAGAAUUAAGGCUGAAUACAUUGUCAAGGUCAUUUCAGAUCCUAUUAUUCUGCUUCUCUGGUGAUAAUGAUAAUAAAAAUAGCACUUUUUAUUUGUGACUCACACAAUUUUCAGAACUCUUUACCCUAUGAUCGCCUCUGAACAGCUAAUGAGGAAUUCAUGCCAUCAACCUGGAGGACAACUUGGAGGACCAAGUGCUCCCAGCCAGACCUCAAGGUUAAAAAGGAUUUCAAAUGGGAGCCUUGGCAGGAAGCGUAUUUCACAUUGAUCCACUGCACCUGGCUCAUCAACUUUCCUCACAUGGCAAAGGAUCCAAAUCUUUGGAUGUCAAUGGGUUGAAUGUUGGGAAAGACAGGCAAUGACAUGGGACAGCCACCCUCCUUCUCUUUUUGGUCAUGUGUGAACUUAGGUAAGUUGCUGAGCUGUUCUGUCAGUACUAUUAUACCAAUCGAGAAGGUCUUGACUGCGGAGAUGUUUGAC